AAAUUGAAGAGUUUGAUCAUGGCUCAGAUUGAACGCUGGCGGCAGGCCUAACACAUGCAAGUCGAACGGUAGCACAGAGAGCUUGCUCUCGGGUGACGAGUGGCGGACGGGUGAGUAAUGUCUGGGAAACUGCCCGAUGGAGGGGGAUAACUACUGGAAACGGUAGCUAAUACCGCAUAACGUCGCAAGACCAAAGUGGGGGACCUUCGGGCCUCACACCAUCGGAUGUGCCCAGAUGGGAUUAGCUAGUAGGUGGGGUAACGGCUCACCUAGGCGACGAUCCCUAGCUGGUCUGAGAGG
RNAcentral lists this ribosomal RNA (300 nucleotides) under Salmonella enterica subsp. enterica serovar Kentucky. RNAcentral describes it as "partial 16S ribosomal RNA". It matches the Rfam family "Bacterial small subunit ribosomal RNA", at positions 1 to 299 of the family's 1533-position model. The record is from RNAcentral. Lineage: Bacteria; Pseudomonadati; Pseudomonadota; Gammaproteobacteria; Enterobacterales; Enterobacteriaceae.